GACGAACGCUGGCGGCGUGCUUAACACAUGCAAGUCGAACGCUGAAGCCUGGCUUUUGUUGGGUGGAUGAGUGGCGAACGGGUGAGUAACACGUGAGUAACCUGCCCCCUUCUUUGGGAUAACGCCCGGAAACGGGUGCUAAUACUGGAUAUUCACUGGUCUUCGCAUGGGGGUUGGUGGAAAGGGUUUUCUGGUGGGGGAUGGGCUCGCGGCCUAUCAGCUUGUUGGUGGGGUGAUGGCCUACCAAGGCUUUGACGGGUAGCCGGCCUGAGAGGGUGACCGGUCACAUUGGGACUGAGAUACGGCCCAGACUCCUACGGGAGGCAGCAGUGGGGAAUAUUGCACAAUGGGCGCAAGCCUGAUGCAGCGACGCCGCGUGAGGGAUGGAGGCCUUCGGGUUGUGGACCUCUUUCGCUUCAAGGU
RNAcentral lists this ribosomal RNA (423 nucleotides) under Actinomyces sp. oral taxon 180. RNAcentral describes it as "bacterial SSU rRNA". It matches the Rfam family "Bacterial small subunit ribosomal RNA", at positions 28 to 447 of the family's 1533-position model. The record is from RNAcentral. Lineage: Bacteria; Bacillati; Actinomycetota; Actinomycetes; Actinomycetales; Actinomycetaceae.